This 1240-nucleotide ribosomal RNA is filed under the name Hebrus sp. AC-2016. RNAcentral describes it as "partial 16S ribosomal RNA". The stretch from base 1010 to 1169 matches the Rfam family "Archaeal large subunit ribosomal RNA", at positions 2544 to 2703 of the family's 2987-position model. The record is from RNAcentral. Lineage: Eukaryota; Metazoa; Arthropoda; Insecta; Hemiptera; Hebridae.
UUUUUUUUUUUUUUUUUUUUUAUAUUUUUUUUUAUUAAAUUAAUAUUCUUUUUAGUAAUUUUUUUUGAAAAAAUUAGUUUUUUUAUAGUUUAUUUUACUGUGAGGUAAUUUUGUUUAUAUUUUUUAAGUACUUCUUUUUUAAGGUACCUUUUGCAUCAGGGUUUAUUAAUUAAUUUUAUUUAUUUAUUUAUCUCGAAAUCCAAAGAUUUAAUUUAAUAUGUGUUUUAUUGUUAUAAAAAUAUUUUUAAUAUUAAAUUAGAUGUGAUAUGCUUUUCAUUUUGGGUUAUAUCUAGUUUUUUAAUAAUUGAAUUUAAUUCAGAAUUUAGGUGUUAAAUUUUAAAUUAAUUAUUUUUUAAUAUUUAAAUUUAAAGUUAAGGGGGAUAAGCUCUUUUUCUUUUAUAUAAUUUUUUUAUAUUUUUAAGAUAGUUUAUAGGAUUAAUAAUUUCCAUUAUUUAUUUAUUUAUAUUUAUCUGUCUUUUUUUAUGAUUUUUUUUUAUUUAUAUUUUUAUUAAAAUAUUUUGUUUAAUUUUUCUUCUUAAGAAAUAAUGAUAAAAUUAAUAAUUUUUUUAUUUUAUAAAUAGUAACUCGGCAAAUAUUUUUUUCACCUGUUUAACAAAAACAUGUCUUAUAGAUUUUAAUUUUAAGUCUGGCCUGCCCAAUGAUUUUAUUUAAUGGCUGCAGUAUUUUAACUGUACAAAGGUAGCAUAAUCAAUUGUCUUUUAAUUGAAGGCUUGAAUGAAUGGUCGGAUGAAAUAAAUACUUUCUUUUUAUAAUUUAUUUUAAUUUAAUUUUUUAGUUAAAAAGCUAAAAUUUUUUUAUAGGACGAGAAGACCCUAUAGAAUUUUAUUUAGACAUUGUUAUUUGAAUUUUUUGUUUAUAAAGUUUAUUAUUAUUUUCUAAAUUUGGUUGGGGUGACUUUAAAAUUUUUUAAACUUUUAUUUUUUUUAUUUCAAAAAUUUUUGAUUUGUUUGAUCCAUUUUUUAUGAUUAAUAGAUUAAAUUACCUUAGGGAUAACAGCGUAAUUUCUUUGGAGAGUUCCUAUCGAUAAAGAAGUUUGCGACCUCGAUGUUGAAUUAAGAUUAGGAUUGGGAGCAGUUUUUCAUAUUUCUAGGUCUGUUCGACCUUUAAAUUCUUACAUGAUUUGAGUUCAGACCGGCGUGAGCCAGGUCGGUUUCUAUCCUUAUUUUUUUUGUAUUUUAGUACGAAAGGACCAUUUACAAUAAUUAUAUUAUAACUUUUA